GAUGAACGCUAGCGAUAGGCUUAACACAUGCAAGUCGAGGGGCAUCGAGGAAUAGCAAUAUUUUGUCGGCGACCGGCGCGCGGGUGAGUAACACGUAUGCAACCUACCCAUAACUGGGGAAUAACCCGUCGAAAGGCGGAUUAAUACCGCAUAACAAGGAUGAUCCGCAUGGAUUGUUUUUUAAAGAUUUAUCGGUUAUGGAUGGGCAUGCGUUCCAUUAGGUAGUUGGCGGGGCAACGGCCCACCAAGCCAUCGAUGGAUAGGGGUUCUGAGAGGAAGGUCCCCCACACUGGUACUGAGACACGGACCAGACUCCUACGGGAGGCAGCAGUGAGGAAUAUUGGUCAAUGGGCGAGAGCCUGAACCAGCCAAAUCGCGUGAAGGAUGAAGGUAUUAUGUAUUGUAAACUUCUUUUAUAGGGGAAUAAAGUGCACCACGUGUGGUGUUUUGUAUGUACCCUAGGAAUAAGGAUCGGCUAACUCCGUGCCAGCCGCCGCCCGUAA
This 503-nucleotide ribosomal RNA is filed under the name uncultured bacterium. RNAcentral's name for it is "partial 16S ribosomal RNA". It matches the Rfam family "Bacterial small subunit ribosomal RNA", at positions 28 to 523 of the family's 1533-position model. The record is from RNAcentral.